AGAAACUCUGAAUCAUGUGUCAUAUUUAUGCUGAGGUAUUGAAUACUAGAUUAGUGUUUUCUGGUUGGACUUCAUUGUCCACUUCCAUUAUUUGAACUGUUGAACAUACAUUUUAUUCUACUUGGUAGGGGUCAAAAACUCACAUGGGAGGAACCAUGCGUUUGGGAUCGAGGAGAACAUACUUCAAGGUUGCAGAAUGCAGAUCUUCAAAGCUGUAUGGAGAUGUCAUUCCUUUAAGCUUAUAUUUAUGUACAUUUAUGUGUGCACCUCUAACACCCACGUGCACACCCGCAUAUGUAUUGACAUACUUGUUUUUUUGUUGGAUAAUAAGUGUCUGUUUGGUCCGGUCUCUGCUUUUCUUUUGUUUGUCAAAAAGCAUAAGCCUAGCCAAACAAUAAGAAACAGAAGUGCGUUUAGGGAAAAACUGAAGUUAUUUUUGGUUUUGAGAAAUCAUUUGUGUCAUAGGAGUUAACAAUAUUUUUGGUAAAUAUAUUUUUUAACCUUAUAUCUUAUUAAUCUACUAAUUUAAUAUUUCUAAAAUGAAAAUAUGAUAUUGAUUUAUUGAUGACUUUAUAUUAUUACAAAUUAUUUAAUUUUUAUAUUAAAAUUAAAUAAUGAUACACUAAAAAUUAAAUAAGAUAAUUAAAUUCAAACAAUAUUUUAAAAUAAUUUAAAUUAUUCUAAUAACUUUUUUUUGGAUGAAGUUAAUAAUUUUAGAUAAUUAUAAUAAAUUGUUUCUUAAUUACUACGCAAUAUUUUAUCUUUCAAUGUUUAUCCUUAGUUUUGUAACAUAAUUAAGUAAACAUACUACAUUUUAUGCUGAAAGCAUUUUUUUCUACAGCAAAUUUUAUUAACCAUAUAUUGCUUUCACCAUAGAGCUGCUUUAUUGAAAGUUAUUUUCAUAUAGAACUCAUAACAGCUUACAACACAAACCAGUCUGGCCAAACAAACUCUAGGUCAUUAAAUUUCUUCUUGGUAAAUUUUCAUUUUCGAUUGGGCAUUGAUGAUUAUCCCUUGAAAUGGGUUUA
This 1028-nucleotide long non-coding RNA is filed under the name Carica papaya (papaya). RNAcentral describes it as "long non-coding RNA (CPAP_LNC013410)". The record is from RNAcentral. Lineage: Eukaryota; Viridiplantae; Streptophyta; Magnoliopsida; Brassicales; Caricaceae.